RNAcentral lists this unclassified non-coding RNA (336 nucleotides) under soil metagenome. RNAcentral's name for it is "partial contains 5.8S ribosomal RNA, internal transcribed spacer 2, and large subunit ribosomal RNA". The stretch from base 1 to 120 matches the Rfam family "5.8S ribosomal RNA", at positions 35 to 154 of the family's 154-position model. The record is from RNAcentral.
GAUGAAAAACGUAGCGAAAUGCGAUAAGUAAUGUGAAUUGCAGAAUUCAGUGAAUCAUCGAAUCUUUGAACGCACAUUGCGCCCGCCAGUAUUCUGGCGGGCAUGCCUGUUCGAGCGUCAUUUCAACCAUCAAGCCCCCGGCUUGUGUUGGGGACCUGCGGCUGCCGCAGGCCCAGAAAAGCAGUGGCGGGCUCGCUGUCACACCGAGCGUAGUAGCAUACAUCUCGCUCUGGGCGUGCUGCGGGUUCCGGCCGUUAAACCACCUUCAUAACCCAAGGUUGACCUCGGAUCAGGUAGGAAGACCCGCUGAACUUAAGCAUAUCAAUAAGCGGAGGA